Molecule: ribosomal RNA, 402 nt
Filed under: Triticum aestivum (bread wheat)
Lineage: Eukaryota; Viridiplantae; Streptophyta; Magnoliopsida; Poales; Poaceae
Description: partial small subunit ribosomal RNA
Source: RNAcentral
AUGAGGAUUCGCUGCCGUGAGGAGGACCCCGGCCCGUAUGAUGUCCACCGGAAGGUCACACACUUCCUUGGCUCGCUCAGACUGGCUCCAUUGAUGGCUUCUCGAAGUUCCGAGCAAGCCUUGUCGCGGCGCUGCAAGUGUUGCCCCUUCCUCCCCAAGGGCAAGGUGAAGGAAGGUGCAUGUGUGGUUCUUCUGCAGCUCGCAGCGAGGCGCUGCAAGUGUUGCCCCUUCCUCCCCAAGGGCAAGGUGAAGGAAGGUGCAUGUGUGGUUCUUCUGCAGCUCGCAGCGAGGAUUGCUGUGUCUAACCUGCACAAGAAUGCCAAGAAGUCCUUCUCGGAGACGAUUAAGGACAUGUACCCGCACUACAACAAGAGAUCUGGGCUGCUUCUUUGUGGCUUCUAA